This 407-nucleotide ribosomal RNA is filed under the name uncultured bacterium. Its description in RNAcentral is "partial 16S ribosomal RNA". It matches the Rfam family "Bacterial small subunit ribosomal RNA", at positions 30 to 526 of the family's 1533-position model. The record is from RNAcentral.
AUUGAACGCUGGCGGCAGGCCUAACACAUGCAAGUCGAGCGGAGCGGCGGACGGGUGAGUAAUGCCUAGGAAUCUGCCUGGUAUUGGGGGAUAACGUCCGGAAACGGGCUCUAAUACCGCAUACUAUCAGAUGAGCCUAGGUCGGAUUAGCUAGUUGGUGGGGUAAAGGCCUACCAAGUCGACGCUCCGUAACUGGUCUGAGAGGAUGAUCAGGCACACUGGAAUUGAGACACGGCCCAGACUCAUACGGGAGGCAGCAGUGGGGAAUAUUGGAUAAGGGGCGAAAGCCGUAUCCAGCCAUGCCGCGUGUGUGAAGAAGGUCGUCGGAUUGUAAAGCACUUUUAGUUGGGAGGCGUUACCAACAGAAUAAGCACCGGCUAAAUUCGUGCCAGCCGCCGCGGUAAUAC